GAGGGAGCCAGAGGCCAAGAAGGCCUGGGGCUGGGUGAAGCCUGCAGCUCCGUGGCCUCCAGGCCAUAAAAAAUGCAGUGGGGAGGAAACGGCCCCACAGUGGAGCUAUUUAGGCCCGGCUUCAUUUCAAAGACCUUGUUUCCACUUCGUUCUCAAACUUAUUUUUCUAAACAAGUACUUUUGAUCAGCUGGAAUGUUGGACUUCUCUUUGGGCUUGGGACUCCUCGAGCCUACACAAUCAGCAUGUCCACGAAGCUGUCCUUCACAGCGGGGACCUUGGUGAAGGACGGAGAAGCUGGAGCAAGAAUCCAAGAGAUGGAGAAGUAUCAAAACCAGGAAGGAGAAGGCUGGUUACUUAGGUGAUGCCAAACUCAGGACGCUCUGACUUGAGCUGAAGGUAGGCAUGAAAGAUUCCUCCUGAACUACAGGAAAGAGAGGCAGGGCCGGAUGACAUCCCAUUUUAGGCCCAAGAGGACCUGCUGAAAGCCACCUACCUCUUCCUCAUUUACUAGCGAGAAGGCUAAACCUAGAGAAGGAAGGGUCUUGCCCAGGUUAUCCAGUAAAGAUUUACCACCAGAUCAGAGCUCUCCUCACCUGGACUCUCAUCUACAGUUAUGGGUAUUAAACUGAGACUCUGCCCAGAGAGCAGCUAGCACUGGGCCUCCAUGCCUGCUGCCUCAAGUCUAGCUGGACCGUAGUCUGCAGCUACAUGGGUAUGCAGAGCAGGGGUCCAUGUCACUAGAAGGCACCAGAAGUUUCCUUCCCACUGACCCACUGACCCAAUGUUAGGUUCAUUUCUGUUCCUGCCUGUCAGGCCAGACCCUGCUGCCAUGCCUCAAUGUCUCCGGGGACCACAAAUCUGUUAGCUCUCAGUGCUUCUGGGGAAAUGAGGAACUUUCCACGAAGCCCAUGCAAAUGUACACUAAAAUCAGGUUCAACAUCUCUGACAAAAGCUGACACACCUUCAGAUAUUGCUUCCCUCUCUGCUUGGCCUGAGUCACUUGAACUUGUGACUUGGUGAAAGUGAGUGAGGAGGGGGCAAAUGAAGUGGGGGAGGGGAGGAGAAGGGGG
Molecule: long non-coding RNA, 1071 nt
Filed under: Rattus norvegicus (Norway rat)
Lineage: Eukaryota; Metazoa; Chordata; Mammalia; Rodentia; Muridae
Description: long non-coding RNA NONRATT033362
Source: RNAcentral